CUUUCUCCGCCGGCGACCGGCGCACGGGUGAGUAACACGUACGCAACCUGCCCCUGUCAGGGGGACAACCCGCCGAAAGGCGGGCUAAACCCGCGUACAUGCCACCGGGGCAUCCCGGAGGCAGGAAAGGCUUCGGCCGGACAGGGAUGGGCAUGCGGCGCAUUAGGCAGUAGGCGGGGUAACGGCCCACCUAACCGACGAUGCGUAGGGGUUCUGAGAGGAAGGUCCCCCCACACUGGUACUGAGACACGGACCAGACUCCUACGGGAGGCAGCAG
Molecule: ribosomal RNA, 277 nt
Filed under: uncultured bacterium
Lineage: Bacteria
Description: partial 16S ribosomal RNA
Rfam family: Bacterial small subunit ribosomal RNA
Source: RNAcentral